This 464-nucleotide ribosomal RNA is filed under the name Vreelandella stevensii. RNAcentral's name for it is "partial 16S ribosomal RNA". It matches the Rfam family "Bacterial small subunit ribosomal RNA", at positions 338 to 795 of the family's 1533-position model. Lineage: Bacteria; Pseudomonadati; Pseudomonadota; Gammaproteobacteria; Oceanospirillales; Halomonadaceae. The record is from RNAcentral.
CCUACGGGCGCAGCAGUGGGGAAUAUUGGACAAUGGGCGAAAGCCUGAUCCAGCCAUGCCGCGUGUGUGAAGAAGGCCUUCGGGUUGUAAAGCACUUUCAGUGGGGAAGAAAGCCUUGGGGCUAAUACCCUCGAGGAAGGACAUCACCCACAGAAGAAGCACCGGCUAACUCCGUGCCAGCAGCCGCGGUAAUACGGAGGGUGCGAGCGUUAAUCGGAAUUACUGGGCGUAAAGCGCGCGUAGGCGGUCUGAUAAGCCGGUUGUGAAAGCCCCGGGCUCAACCUGGGAACGGCAUCCGGAACUGUCAGGCUAGAGUGCAGGAGAGGAAGGUAGAAUUCCCGGUGUAGCGGUGAAAUGCGUAGAGAUCGGGAGGAAUACCAGUGGCGAAGGCGGCCUUCUGGACUGACACUGACGCUGAGGUGCGAAAGCGUGGGUAGCAAACAGGAUUAGAUCCCCCAGUAGUC